GGCAGCAAUCUAUAGGAGAAUACUAGCUUGCAAAGUUAGGAAACUCAGUUCGAAUCUGAGUGCUGCUU
This 68-nucleotide transfer RNA is filed under the name Nitzschia sp. NIES-3576. RNAcentral's name for it is "tRNA-Cys". It matches the Rfam family "tRNA". From Rfam's summary of the family: Transfer RNA (tRNA) molecules are approximately 80 nucleotides in length. Their secondary structure includes four short double-helical elements and three loops (D, anti-codon, and T loops). Further hydrogen bonds mediate the characteristic L-shaped molecular structure. tRNAs have two regions of fundamental functional importance: the anti-codon, which is responsible for specific mRNA codon recognition, and the 3' end, to which the tRNAs corresponding amino acid is attached (by aminoacyl-tRNA synthetases). tRNAs cope with the degeneracy of the genetic code in two manners: having more than one tRNA (with a specific anti-codon) for a particular amino acid; and 'wobble' base-pairing, i.e. permitting non-standard base-pairing at the 3rd anti-codon position. The record is from RNAcentral. Lineage: Eukaryota; Bacillariophyta; Bacillariophyceae; Bacillariales; Bacillariaceae.